RNAcentral lists this ribosomal RNA (492 nucleotides) under uncultured bacterium. Its description in RNAcentral is "partial 16S ribosomal RNA". It matches the Rfam family "Bacterial small subunit ribosomal RNA", at positions 29 to 507 of the family's 1533-position model. The record is from RNAcentral.
AGUGAACGCUGGCGGUGGGCCUAACACAUGCAAGUCGAACGGCAGCACAGUAAGAGCUUGCUCUUACGGGUGGCGAGUGGCGGACGGGUGAGGAAUACAUCGGAAUCUACUUUUUCGUGGGGGAUAACGUAGGGAAACUUACGCUAAUACCGCAUACGACCUACGGGUGAAAGCAGGGGAUCUUCGGACCUUGUGCGAUUGAAUGAGCCGAUGUCGGAUUAGCUAGUUGGCGGGGUAAAGGCCCACCAAGGCGACGAUCCGUAGCUGGUCUGAGAGGAUGAUCAGCCACACUGGAACUGAGACACGGUCCAGACUCCUACGGGAGGCAGCAGUGGGGAAUAUUGGACAAUGGGCGCAAGCCUGAUCCAGCCAUACCGCGUGGGUGAAGAAGGCCUUCGGGUUGUAAAGCCCUUUUGUUGGGAAAGAAAAGCAGCAGGUUAAUACCCCGCUGUUCUGACGGUACCCAAAGAAUAAGCACCGGCUAACUUCGUG